Molecule: small nucleolar RNA, 78 nt
Filed under: Astyanax mexicanus (Mexican tetra)
Lineage: Eukaryota; Metazoa; Chordata; Actinopteri; Characiformes; Acestrorhamphidae
Description: Small nucleolar RNA SNORD24 (ENSAMXG00000034004.1)
Source: RNAcentral
UGUCCUGUGAUGACAGUUAUUUGCUACUCUUGACUUAAUGCUGAUGAACCAAACCACCAAAAAUACUAAACUGAGGCA